GAUGAACGCUGGCGGCGUGCCUAAUACAUGCAAGUCGAGCGAACAGACGAGGAGCUUGCUCCUUUGACGUUAGCGGCGGACGGGUGAGUAACACGUGGGUAACCUACCUAUAAGACUGGGAUAACUUCGGGAAACCGGAGCUAAUACCGGAUAAUAUUUCGAACCGCAUGGUUCGAUAGUGAAAGAUGGUUCUGCUAUCACUUAUAGAUGGACCUGCGCCGUAUUAGCUAGUUGGUAAGGUAACGGCUUACCAAGGCAACGAUACGUAGCCGACCUGAGAGGGUGAUCGGCCACACUGGAACUGAGACACGGUCCAGACUCCUACGGGAGGCAGCAGUAGGGAAUCUUCCGCAAUGGGCGAAAGCCUGACGGAGCAACGCCGCGUGAGUGAUGAAGGUCUUCGGAUCGUAAAACUCUGUUAUUAGGGAAGAACAAACGUGUAAGUAACUGUGCACGUCUUGACGGUACCUAAUCAGAAAGCCACGGCUAACUACGUGCCAGCAGCCGCGGUAAUACGUAGGUGGCAAGCGUUAUCCGGAAUUAUUGGGCGUAAAGCGCGCGUAGGCGGUUUUUUAAGUCUGAUGUGAAAGCCCACGGCUCAACCGUGGAGGGUCAUUGGAAACUGGAAAACUUGAGUGCAGAAGAGGAAAGUGGAAUUCCAUGUGUAGCGGUGAAAUGCGCAGAGAUAUGGAGGAACACCAGUGGCGAAGGCGACUUUCUGGUCUGUAACUGACGCUGAUGUGCGAAAGCGUGGGGAUCAAACAGGAUUAGAUACCCUGGUAGUCCACGCCGUAAACGAUGAGUGCUAAGUGUUAGGGGGUUUCCGCCCCUUAGUGCUGCAGCUAACGCAUUAAGCACUCCGCCUGGGGAGUACGACCGCAAGGUUGAAACUCAAAGGGGUUGACGGGGACCCGCACAAGCGGUGGAGCAUGUGGCUUAAUUCGAAGCAACGCGAAGAACCUUACCAAAUCUUGACAUCCUUUGACCCUUCUAGAGAUAGAAGUUUCCCCUUCGGGGGACAAAGUGACAGGUGGUGCAUGGUUGUCGUCAGCUCGUGUCGUGAGAUGUUGGGUUAAGUCCCGCAACGAGCGCAACCCUUAAGCUUAGUUGCCAUCAUUAAGUUGGGCACUCUAAGUUGACUGCCGGUGACAAACCGGAGGAAGGUGGGGAUGACGUCAAAUCAUCAUGCCCCUUAUGAUUUGGGCUACACACGUGCUACAAUGGACAAUACAAAGGGCAGCGAAACCGCGAGGUCAAGCAAAUCCCAUAAAGUUGUUCUCAGUUCGGAUUGUAGUCUGCAACUCGACUACAUGAAGCUGGAAUCGCUAGUAAUCGUAGAUCAGCAUGCUACGGUGAAUACGUUCCCGGGUCU
This 1372-nucleotide ribosomal RNA is filed under the name uncultured bacterium. RNAcentral's name for it is "bacterial SSU rRNA". It matches the Rfam family "Bacterial small subunit ribosomal RNA", at positions 28 to 1381 of the family's 1533-position model. The record is from RNAcentral.